AUUAAGUUGAAUGAUAAUUUUGUUCCUAUCCUUCAGGUUCUUUCCAGAGAUCACUAUUAAAAUCAUAUUUUCUCAUAAUUUAUAUAGAAAGAGAAGCCAAAAGCAUUUUUCACAACUAUGGGAAAACUACCCACAAACUGUAUUCCAAAUAGGACAAACAUAAAAUUUCUUUAAAAUGGAAAACAGGGGAACGGGGAAGUAAGGGAUAAUAAUUUUUUUUUUUUUUUAUUGUUGGGGAUUCAUCUGAGGGUAAGGGAUAAUAAUUUUUUUUUUUAUUGUUGGGGAUUCAUCUGAGGGUAAGGGAUAAUAAUUUUUAAAUUAUAAACCUGUUAUUAUUAAUGAGUAUAACACUGAUGUUCAAAAACAUGCACAAAUGCAGAAUUCCCUAGCUACUCCCCAAAUCUUAUGUUAAAAACAUCAUUAGCUUCACAUUAAGAAGACAUUUGUUCUGUUCUCGACUACUUGAAGCUGGAAAAUCCUUUUCCACUAAUAACCUGUUAUUUCAACAGUUUAAUAGUAUUGCUAUUACCUGGAGCAGUUAAAAAAAUUGUAGUGCCAAAGUAAACUUGAAGGAAAACUUGGGAUUAAUUUCCCUACAGACUUUCCAUUGUACAUUAUUUAGUCACUCUGAUCAAUUAAAAGGGCUUUGAAAUCACAGUACUUACUUGUGAUACUAUUAAUAUUUCUUCUAUACCUCCUUGUAUUUAAACCAAAGGAAGUGUAGAAGAGUACACAGUUUCCCUCUUCACUUGGGUGCAUUUCCCAUCCCCUAAGGCAAAAAACUAGAUACACCUCUGCAUUCUUCAGUGAUUCCAUUAAUUUGUUCCAUCUGGGAAGCUUGGACGAUUUCUGUGCUUCCCACCUAUUUCCAAGUUAUUGAAAAAAUACACUUUAAAAGAGAAGGGUAAAAGAGAAUAAAAGAUAAUAUUUCAACCUUGCAUUAUGAGUAUGUCACUUGUUCUUAAAAAAUUAUUUGUGCAGUGAAGAAGAAGACGUGGCAUGUGGAAGAAUGAACACACAGCCGAGAGGCCCUGUUGCUAAGCUGUGCUGAACAAAAGAACCUCUAAGGAUUCUCCCCUGCAAUCCUGGCUCUGCCAUUAAUUCACUGUAUGCCUUUGGAAAGUUUAAAGAUAUAUGUCUGGAUCACAUUUGUGGGACCCACAAUGCUCAUGAGUGUCUUGUGCUCAAGACUGAAUGCUGCAUCUCAUUGGCAAAAAGUAGUCACAUGACCUCACCCUGUCACAUGAAUGCCAGAAAAGGCACUCUCACCGUGCACUUGGAAGCCAGCCAGCUGGAAACAGGUGUUGAACAGUCCUGAUAAGCACCACAGGAGGAGAAAGGGAAGGGGGAGGGGAGGACAAAUUUUGGAGAGUAUAUUUAGGAUCACCUGGGUUAAAUGCAGGUUUCUUCCUAUCAGAUAAUUUACUUGGGAAGGCCCUGGGAGUACCUCCAAGAUUUAAGCAGUCAAGCGCUAGAGCAACUAAAAUGAAGUUGUGAGACUGUCCUAUCACAGCCAAUGGAGAAAGAAAUACAGUUGGCAGAGAAGAAAAAAGCAACAAUUUAGGGAAACACACACAUACUCAAGGGCAGACAUUUGCAGAGAACACAUUGUGAUUUGCUAUCGAGCUGCUGCUUCUCUGGGCAACUCUAUCUAGCGUGCUCCAACGUGAAAAGCAACAAGGAUUUAUCGAAGGAUGGUUUGAGGGAUGAUAUUCUUCAGAGGAAAGCUGAGAAGUUGGUGAUUGUAUGCUUGAGAGUGCACAGAUCUGCCCAUACAUAUUGGAACACCUGAAAUUACAGACUCCAAAGGCCUCAACAUCAUUAUCACUGGAUAAUGGCAUCCCAGGUCUGAAAACAACAUGCACAAUACUGAUUUUAACUACAGACAGGCCAGACAACGAAGUGUGUACUGUAGAGGCAGACGGCCUGGGUUCACAAUGCCAGCAGUGUAACCACUGACAGCCUGCUUGACUUCUUGCCUCCUGGGCUAAUCCACCUGUUACAUGGGGGUAAUACCCAUUCCUCCCUCAAAGAAUUGUGUGUAAAAAAUCUCAUAAGAUUAUAGAUGUAAAGAAGUGAGAACCCAAAGAAAUCGUUCUGUAAAUUAGUAUUAAAUUCCAACUCUUUCCGUUUUAAAAUUUAAAAGAAAGACUUAAAAUGAGCAGAGCUACACGCCGGUCUCCAGCUGAUGUUUGGAGAAGCAUUAGUUGCAUUCCCUUCAUCUUUUCUCGUCCCUUCCCUUUAAAGAAUUUUAAAUGAGAAAGGCGUUUAUUUCCCUCAUAUCUGCACAAGCCGUUGAUUUGUCAGGAGAAAAAUACAAAGGCUUCCACAUUUUGGCUGUUCUGUUUCCUGAAUUAAAACUCUACUUCUGAAUUUAAGGCAGCAAAACACCCAUUCAGUGUUAUAAGAGUGAGUAAAAUAUAUAGAAAUGAGAAUAGCUUUGACAAGUCAACAUAAAUGUGAAUGAGACUAGAGAAAUAAAAUGCUCCAUAUGAGUGCUUCCAUUUUAAGUGGUUUUACCAACUUUCAAAUGAUUAGACAAUUUUGUCUCAUUCCUUUCAAAUUUACAAAUUAAUAUUUUUAAGAGAUGGAGUUAAUAACCAGUUAAAAACUAUAAAGAUUUCCUCAAUUGAAGUUCGGAGUUUUGCUAUAUAAAACUGAGAGUUACAAUAAAAAUAGCAAUAUCGUGCAAUACUAUAUUUGUAUUUCUCAGUUCAAUUGCUUUUUAUUUUCAAACAGUAGGCAACUAAGACAUGCCUGAGUGAAGUUUCCUAGGAGCCAAAUAAUUAAUCCAACAUUUAUCCUAAAUGCCGAACUAACUUAUAUAAUUCUUCAAGUGAAUAUCACAUCUUUGAUGGGGAUAUAGAAAUUGUUUCUACCUGAGGCUUCAAGAGCUGUGUCAUAAAGUAUUCUGAUUAAUCAAAAACACCUUGUAAUUUGUUGCAUUUGGAAGGCAGCUACCUAACUUGCUCAGUACUUUAACAAAAUACCUGUAAAAUUGCACAAUCAAAACUGUACCUCUGCCAAGCAAAGUGAGAACACCAACAGAAAGUAAGAGACAGCUAAAUCCCCAAAAAAGUCUAUUUCUGUGCCCUCCAAAUCCUCAAAAUGAAAUCAGCAAUGGAAAGAGAGUCUAAGUUUAAAAUGCAAUUAAAGUAAACAAUUUCAACUCAAUUAUUCUACUAUUUAGUGUUAAAAAUUAGAAUUUUUCUGGUCGAGUGUUUUAGUUCUUUGCCUCUGUUUUUAUUUUUAUUUUUUCAUAUGUGUGGUUUUAUUUUAAAGUUCCAUUGAGGCAAUAUACAUAUGCCAGCCAGAAAAUGCAGAUAUUAAGGGAUUUUAUUCAUAACAGGCUAAAUUUGUCUCUUGUGAAAGAUAAAAACACUUUAAAGUUGAUGAGUCUAUGAUUUUAAGUAAAAUCCUCAUUCAAAUGUGAUUGCUUUAUAGGUUUAACUCUGGUCAGAGUAAUUUGUGUUCUUUCUAUAUAUUACUCUAACUAUAAUAAAGCUGUUUAUGCAAAUGUGAAAUUGUUGCUAUUGCAGACUCUUUCCAACCAUGUAAGGUUGUAAUGUUAAACUCCCAUUCAAGAUCAAAAUUCCACAUAUUUACAACCUGCAAACAUCCAAAAUUCACACUUCAACAUCUGUGUGUGGCUGCCAACUUCUACUGCAAUCUAUGGCGUGCUUUUUCAGAAGUGGAAGAAAAUGAAAAAACCUUGAAGUAAGUACAAUUCAAUAAUUAUGUCAAUAUUUACCAAAUGUUUGCAAUGGCAUGCAUUUUAUUAAUUGAUAGCACCUAGAAACUGUGUUAGGGAUAAAAAAGCUUUAAAGAGUUUGCAGAAUUUUUACAGCAGACUGU
Molecule: long non-coding RNA, 3855 nt
Organism: Nycticebus coucang (slow loris)
Lineage: Eukaryota; Metazoa; Chordata; Mammalia; Primates; Lorisidae
Exons: 3
Source: RefSeq, a predicted model, not a curated record